Molecule: non-coding RNA, 220 nt
Organism: Pelobates cultripes (western spadefoot toad)
Lineage: Eukaryota; Metazoa; Chordata; Amphibia; Anura; Pelobatidae
Source: the annotation of a GenBank genome assembly
UGUGUAUAGUAGAUGUAGAAUGUGUGUAUUGGAUGCAGAGUUUGUGUGUAAAGUGGAUGCGGUGUGUGUUUAACGGAUGCAGUGUGUAUAGUGGAUGCAGAUUGAACAUUUGUGUAAUGUAUGAGGUGUAUAUUAGAUGCAGAGUGUGUGUUUGUGUAGUGGAUGUAGUGUGUGUUUAUAGUGAAUGCAGAGUGUGUGUGUGUUUGUGUAGUGGAUGUAG